AACGAACGCUGGCGGCAUGCCUAACACAUGCCAGUCGAACGAGACCUUCGGGUCUAGUGGCGCACGGGUGCGUAACGCGUGGGAACCUGCCCUUAGGUUCGGAAUAACUCCCCGAAAGGGGUGCUAAUACCGGAUAAUGUCUUCGGACCAAAGAUUUAUCGCCUUUGGAUGGGCCCGCGUUGGAUUAGCUAGUUGGUAGGGUAAAAGCCUACCGAGGCGACGAUCCGUAGCUGGUCUGAGAGGAUGAUCAGCCACACUGGGACUGAGACACGGCCCAGACUCCUACGGGAGGCAGCAGUGGGGAAUAUUGGACAAUGGGCGAAAGCCUGAUCCAGCAAUGCCGCGUGAGUGAUGAAGGCCUUAGGGUUGUAAAGCUCUUUUACCCGGGAUGAUAAUGACAGUACCGGGAGAAUAAGCUCCGGCUAACUCCGUG
This 433-nucleotide ribosomal RNA is filed under the name uncultured bacterium. Its description in RNAcentral is "partial 16S ribosomal RNA". It matches the Rfam family "Bacterial small subunit ribosomal RNA", at positions 29 to 507 of the family's 1533-position model. The record is from RNAcentral.